ACGGUACUCCUCCCGUCCCAAAAUUCUUGUCUUAGAUUUGACUAGAUACGGAUGUAUCUAAUACUAAAACGUGAUACAUUCAUAUUUAGACAAAUUCAAAACAAAAAUUUUGGAACGGAGAAAAUACUAA
Non-coding RNA from Triticum aestivum (bread wheat), 130 nucleotides. The record is from Rfam. Lineage: Eukaryota; Viridiplantae; Streptophyta; Magnoliopsida; Poales; Poaceae.